This 10197-nucleotide long non-coding RNA is filed under the name Citrus sinensis (sweet orange). RNAcentral describes it as "long non-coding RNA (CSIN_LNC002836)". Lineage: Eukaryota; Viridiplantae; Streptophyta; Magnoliopsida; Sapindales; Rutaceae. The record is from RNAcentral.
AAGCGCUUACACUGAAAACCAUACUAUAUCUGAGAUUUUUUUUUCUUUUUUGUUUAAAUUUAAAAGUUUACUUAAACUGCUGAUUCAACAAGAAAUUAAAGUCUAGGACUAAUAUGGGACAUUCUUGGGGAGGUUUCGGAUGAUAUUAUUCUUCAUGCCGACCCUUGUGCGCAUUGCCUCCACUCCCGUUCUAUUCAUCUCCUUGAUUACCUUCAUCCUCACCAUGUGCUCUCUUGUUUGCACGGUUGCUAAUCCCAUGCUCUUGUACCUGAAAAAUACAGGAUGCCAUGUUAAGGAGAUGGGAUUCCCAGGUUGCCCUUCUUAAUAGAAGGGUAAGUUGAGAAAGAUUAAAAACACACCUUGAGGCCAGCGCAGCUGUAAUGGCCACAUUAUUUGCCGGUGACGGGCGGGGUUUCCGGCGAUAAUACCGCAGAUAUUCACGGGAGCCGAACGUUUUAGUCGAUGUUCCUUUAUCUGUUCUCCUAGUUAUGAUAAGCUCAGACCCACCACCAAGCUCUACAGUGUUGGCCAUGUCACUGGAUGAGAUCAGCUGUUUCCCAUCCUCAUCCAUGUAACUGUCGGAACAAAGAAUUUUAUUAUUUUGUUGAAAAGUAAAUAAAUCAAAUUAGGAAAUAAGAAACAAAAAAGAAAGAUGAACUUUGAAGACAAUGACCUGCUGCUAUAGUCAUAGAACUCUUCUAACUCGGCCUCCUCCUCGUCAUCACCAUCGCCGAAAUGUAUUUUGCAAUGACGUUUUGCUUCCAUAUGCUUCCUAACUGCUUCCAAGCUGUUAAAAGGAUGGCACCUAUCAUUGCAGUAUAAACACAUGAAAUCCCUCUUAACCUGAAAAAAAUUGAAAAGACAGAGCAUGUAAGUGAAAGCCACAGCUGCUUAUGGUAAAUUGAUUAACUGAGCUAAUAAAAUCAAGCAAAAACAUAGAAUGCAAGAUGAGAGUAAUUUUAUAAUAAGGGAAUCCAUUACUUUAAUAAAGUAAGGGACAAGUAAAAGGGGGGCAAAAAAAAAAAAAACAUUCGUUGUAUUUUAUCGCGUAAUGUAUUCAAAAUCUGUGUUUUCUUAUCUUUUAGCUUGUCUCUUAUUAAGGUAAGGGAUUCCCUUAUUUUAUGUAAAAUCACCUUAAGACCAAGAUAGGUAAGCAGGCCUUUUGGAUCCUUCAAAUACUCAACAUCAGGAAUAAAAAACCCAUGACACUUGUGCAUGUGAACCAUGCAGUUCUCAAUUGCAUCGUGCGGAAGAUCACACAUGAAGCAACAUGCUGGAUCGAACUCCUCAAAGGCACCAUCAUCGUCAUCCUCCUCCAUGUCAUCAUCAGCGGGAGACCCAACAUUCAAAUUGGUCAGAGAAUUAGUGGCCUCACUAACCAAUACUUCGUCUGGACCAACCUCUUCCCACUCAUCAUCACUAUCUUCACUUUCUUCAUUGUUUGCUUCUCUUUUCGGAGGAGGCUUAUUUACAUCACGAAGCGAAAUUGACCUAAUUAUUACCUUCUCCUUCUCUUCAUUACUCGUUCCUUGAGCAGCCCGCAUAAUGUGGCUUCGUGAGUUGAGAUGCUGAGCAAGAGCCUUAGAGCUUCUGUACCCUUUACCACAAAGACCACAACUGUACGUCAUUGGGGUCUCAUUCGUAUUUUUCUCUUGAGCAAGUGCCGCUUGUCUAGCCAGAAAUAGAGCUUCUGUCACUCCGGGAACCCCAGCCACCUGGUUUAUAGGGAGGAGCAGAAAAAUGAUAUUUUUCCACAUUAUUCAAGCGCAUCAACUAAAAAUUCAUUUUCUUGAAGAGCUCCAAACCAUCAUAAAAAUUAAAACAGAUUUAAUGCAGGGUACCAAAUGUAGUGAUUAAACAAUAACGACCACUUGGUAUAGCAAGUAAACUGUCUGCAAACAAGUUUCUUAAGGUUACUUUAUGAUUGUUUUGGUUGUCAGUUUCAGCUUCUUAAAAAGAACUUACAAUUACCUAAAUCGACAAGUAUGUCAAGGUUAUGUUACGGUAGGAAGGAGUGAAAAUUAUUAAACAAAAUAAUGAUAUUCUAGAAAAAUUCGAGAAAAAAAAAACCUCAACAAUCUCCUCCCCAAAAACCCAAAAUUUGAUAUUGUCUUGGUACAGGAAAAAUAUAUUCCUUAACCCCUAAAAGACUCUACUCCAAUUACAAACAAACCACUCAAGAACUUGGAGAGAGCCUUUGGCAUUGACAAAAUAGAAUUUUUUUUUUUUUAUGCAAUUUCUAAGCUAGAGUAGCUCAAAUAUCAUAACUUUAGAAGAAAAAAAAAAAGAAGAGCGGCAUUAAAAUAGAAAUCAAAAUAAAAAUAAAAAGUUCUAGCAUUCGCAUAUUGCUAAUGUAGUUGCCUUUCAUAUAUUUUACUAUCUUCUAUACGAAUCUAUGUAUGCAAUUAUGUGCCUAAUGCUGUACCAGAUGGCGGAACACAAAUUUAUAUUUGCCUAUUUUGGCUAUAAAACAUUCAAUUUACAGAAGCACUUUUUGGACAAGCAAUUCUUGUAAGAUACAUAUAUACUUCUUCAACAAAGUACCGCCGCCAAGCAGAAGCGCUUAAUCUCAUAAAAUUUUAAAGAGAAGGAAACUGAAAAUUAAAAGUUAAAGAGAGAGAAAGAGACCUUGCGUUUGAGAUUGUAGCGAUACCAAUCGGACUUGUAGUGAAGCUUCUUCUCGGCGUCGUCAUUGAAUUCUCUGUUACAUGCAUUGCAGGUCAGCCCCGGCAAGUUGUGUUCUUUCGUCUCCUUGGCGAUUCGAUUUUACGACGCACAACUUUUAUUUUUAUAAAUAAAACUCAUCGCUAGUGAAAAGAGGAAUAUCUCGCAGGAAUUUCUCCAUUGUCUGCUCAUCAUCCUUCAAAUCUUGGACGGUUUUCAAGGAUGCUUCAGGAACUGUAGGUUCACAUUUAUUGAACUUACUAGUUUUGCCAAACAGUAAGCUACAGCGCCUAUUAUUGGUAAGAUGACCAGUACCAGAAUUGUAACUGCAAAUUAUGUAAAAUUAAAUCAGCUGCGAAAUUAGGCUCUCCUUUUCUCUAACAAGUGUAAGAGGUUACCAAGAGCGCCCGCCAGUUUGUGAUGGUGACCCCGUGUUCCAAAUUUGAGGAAGGAUUGCUGGCAUUCUGAGGACAAGACGAUUGGAGAAAUCGGGAAAUUAAUUCAAGGACCCUGGAUCCUGGCUUUUGAGAGCUUUGAUGCCGCAGAAGCAAAAGUCGCCUUGUUAAUGCUUUUCCCAUUUUCAAAGACAUAGCUAAUUAUGGUUUUGAUACUGCUUAGUUACAAUUUACAAUGACAGACAAAACUAAGGAUACAAGAAAAACACAAGGCUCUAGCUUACAAACUGAGUAAAAAAAAAAUACAAGUAUUGGAAAAUUCAAGGAAUGGAGAACACAAGGCACAAGCUUAGUUGUUAUCAGCAAGUAGCUAUUGUGUAUCAUGCUUGGCCAUUAUUGGAGUGGUCUCCUUGUACCAGCGAGACUGAUUAGAGGAAUUUAAACCAUCACUAGAUUCAAGUGACUUCAACCUCGUCAUCUUGAUUAAGUCCAAAUAGCGAAAUGGUUUUGGUGGCGGUAAAACUUCCACUACUCCCUCCAGCAUCUUGAUCACGGCACUCAUUGGAGGUCUAUCUUCGGGAGAGUCUUGCACACACCACAAAGCCACCAUGCACAAUCUUUUUGCUUUCUCUUUGUCUUUCUCUUCAAUCCCACAUCCCAGUAUCAUUGCACCCAAUUCACAUUUCUCAUAUUCUUCCCACACAUGUUUUGGAAACCAAUCGAGGCUCUCGGUGGCUCCAACAAUUGCAUUUCUUCUCCUUCCAACAAUCUCAAACAACACCAUUCCAAAGCUAUAGACAUCACAUUUAUGUGUAAUAGGGUAAUUCCCUGAUAAAAAUUCUGGUGCAGAGUAGCCAGGAGUGCCCUUAUAUCCACUUAUUGUAACAUGAGUCUUGUUCCUAUCACAAAGCUUUGCAAGCCCGAAAUCUGCUACCUUAGGAGAGAAGUUUGCAUCUAAGAGAACAUUUUCGGGCUUUAUGUCGUAAUGAAUGAUUCUCUGUUGGCAUUCUUCGUGCAAGUAAACUAAACCCUUGGCUGUCCCUAUAGCAAUUUCGUGCAACUUCUCCCAUUCUAUUGCUCGUUUCUUGCCAAACAGAUACCCAUCAAGUGAACCAUUUUCCAUGUACUCAUAAACAAGUGCAGUCAUGUGUUGGUCGUGGCAAAAACCAUAAAGCCUAACCAAAUUUAUAUGAUAAGUUCUUCCAAUAGUUCCCACUUCAGCCAUGAAUUGCUCUUCAGCAAUUCUGCCUAGGUUCCUAUUAAGAACCUUCACUGCAAUUUUCACACCAUUAGGAAAUUGUCCUUUAUAGACUUCUCCAAAACCUCCAAAUCCUAACCGAGUUGAAUAAUUGCUCGUAAAAUUAUUGAGCUGGAGAGAAGUAAACCUGACCGGCUUCUCCCUUCCGAUUUCUUGAAGGAAUCUCUCCAUUGUUUGACCAGCUUCCCAUAUUACUUCAACCACGUCCUCUUCAGGCUUAUUAGCAGAUGCAGCAUUUCGGGUUUCUGUUUCCGUACGAUUUAGCUUUUCCCAAAAAUAUCGGAUGAUGUAAAAUACUACUAUAAUUACUAUAAGUCCAAAUAUUACCGACAUGGCUGCUAUGACUGCAAGUUAAUAAAAGCGUUUCAGAUUAGUGAAAUAAUGUAGGAGCUGUCAUUGAUGGUUAUUGUAUAAAUUUAAUUGCUUGGCACAGCAUUUAAUGUUAAGCUUAACAUAUUGUUGUACACACGGUGUAAUAACUUUAAAUGCUCAGCACAGCCUAGAUCAGUACAACAUCAAAAUUCGAUUAUUGCACCAUUCAACAAUAUAUUGUUUGUUGAGUUUCGAUCCUGUGUUGAUAUAUAUGUGCUUAGCUUUCAAAUGUCUUUUGCUAUCAUGUGUGCAUAAAUACCACUAAUCACAGCCCUCUGUCUGCAUGAGCACAACCUCAGAUAUGAUAGAAAUUUUAAAAUAAAUCAGAGGUAUCAUAUCAAUCAUACAACAAUCAAAUAAUGUUAUGACGUGUGUAUAUUUAAUUUAAAAAAUCAUCAUACAAGUUGUAGUUAUAUUAAAUUUAAAUACGCAUGGCAUGCAUACAUUAAUUGAUUGUAAUACAUCAUAGGUAUUCUUGAAAUAUGCAUGAAACUAAAAUCUACUUCGUUAAAAUCGUUGGGGAGUGUCGUCGGGUUGGUUUUUUUUUUCUUUUUGGGUGUGGGCUCAUCUUUAAUGACUUACAUAAUGGUGGUGGCCCGUCCGAUGGCCCGUCUGGUAGCCCGUUUUCUGAUGGCCUGUCUGGUAGCCCGUUUGCUGACAUUCUGGAAGAUACAAGAACAUUCAAAAGCAAAGAUUAGAGGCAGCUGAAGUCAGGUCUAGCAGCUUUAUGAAAGCUAAACGAGAAGUUAAGGAAAAAAAAAUGAAAAAGAAAACUGUAUUUGAAAUAAUACUGACUUUGAUUGCCUUUUUGCUUCCGCGUCUAUCCAAAAAUUUGUAGAUCGACUUCUUCCUCUUCACAACUCUAAAAGUUGCACGAAAUACUUUACAGACAUUUUGUUAAUUGGAGGUGGAAAGUUGGCCAGAGAUGAGAAUAAGCAAGAUAGAUACGAUGGUUCAAUGGAGACUAAAAGGACAUUUGAAAUAACCAAUUAAGAAACCGCUUUGAGAGUUACAUACAGUGGAAACUGGAGGAAAUUUUUAUGAUAUCUGUAUACAUCAAGUCAUCUUCAUUAUUUUUUGGUGUAUUAAAUUAUUUAAUAUCCGAAAAUUAUAUUGAGUCCCGACUAAUUCAGAUUCGAGCCGAGUAUUACCACUAGGGCGGCAAAGUUCUCCCAAUAAAUAUUUAACACAGCUGCAUUCUUAAGUCUCGAACCAAAAAUCAUGCCAGUUAAUCUACGCACUUGUUGGUAUCAAGUCAUCUUCAUUAAUUUUACCUGAGUCAACAUGCAUAAUUAAGACUUGGCCAUGUGAUUGAAGUUGUCUUAAAUCGAGUUUACUGUGAAAUCUAUUAUGAUACACAAAUAGAGUUUAAAUUUAUAUAAUUGUGGUAUAUGUGUUUAGUUAAAUAAUUUUUCUUAGUUAGUCACUAAUAGAGAAACAAAAUUACAUAAUUUUGUUCUUUUUUAAAAAAAAUUAUAAUAGAGAGAUAGUUUAAAUAAUUAAUCAAUUAAGUUAUUCUUUUAUUAGGUUUGUUGAUCAUCUUUGAUCGUUGAGGUUGAUUUAACAUAAUUUAAUUUAACUAUUUUAUCUUUAUAAUACAAAUUGUCAAAAGAAAUGUGCAUAUAUUAUACUAGAAUAAUUAGGCAUUUAGUUUUUAUAUCUUAUAUAAUCUAACAUUCGAAAUUUAAGACAAUAAAUUUUCAGUCCCCUACUUGUAGAUGGUAUACAAUUAACUACCAAUUAAUUUGAUGAGAUAUACAUCACAUUGACAUUUUAUUACUUGAACUUUGAUUGCGUUUUUGCUUCUACCCAAAGACUUGUUCUUGGGUUCUUCACAACUUGAUGAUCAGUAUGUCCCGCUAAAGUUGUAUGAAAUAAUGCAAAUGAAGUUUCAGCGAAGGCACAGAGGAAAUGAAUAACCAAUAAGCUUCAUCGAGAAUGACAUAUGGUGGAAAAUUAAUGACAUUCGAAAAACUAUUAAUAAUAAUAGGUGUCUUGAUCAUCUUUUGUUAUGAAUCAUUCAAAGUCAGCACGCGUAAGAUGUAUGAAUCCCAAUUUAUUUUGUUUUUGUGGUUGCAAAACAAAUUAAAAUAUGAAGUGCCAAAGAAGAAAGGGAAAUAAGCAAUUAAUAAUUUUCUGAGUGAUGAGAUGCGUGACAACAUGAGAGAGUCAACAUACAGAACUUUCUAUUAAAAUAGUUAGUUUUAUCAUGUUCUGAGUUUCAGGUUAUUUCUUACCAUUCUCUCUUUAUGUUAUCGUGACAUAAGAAAAGAUUGUACAAGAAUGUGACAAAAGAUGACUCUUUCUUCAACCAGGUUUAUUUUCUAUCAACCACAGGCUACGAACACUGGAGGCCGCCUACUACUACUGACUGAUGCAGGAUUUUAGGCAGGGGUGGAACUAUGUUCACGCCUAGGGUUGCCAAGGCAACCACCAAGCUUUUAAAAAUUUUUAAGAAAUAAGAUUAAGAAGUUUUUAAACUGUCCCUUAAAUUAUUUUUCAAGACAACCCCCAAUCUUCUUUAAAUACGAACUUGCAAUAUAUUUUGAUAAUCCCCAAAUUAAAAUCCUUACUUCGCCACUGAAUUUGGGUUUCAAAUUUGUGAAACUUAAAACCUCCUGACUAUUUUAUCAUUCAACAAUGGGAUAUUCUUUGUUGAAUUUGGAUUCUAUGCUGAAUUGAGCUAUAUUUUAACUUUUAAGAAUCUUUUUGAUGAUGAUGAAAAUGAUGACAUUCUGUAAGAUACAAGAACUAGCAAGGAUUUAUGGCAGCUCUAGUGGUUUAUGUACUGUUGCAUGACACUCACUACACUAAAAACAUAUAAAAACAAACAAAAUUCCAAUUUGGGUAAACUUCAAUUCAAUCCAUAAAUAUAAUGACAAUCUUAAGUUUAUCAUCUAUUUUAUUCAGAACAUAGCAAAUAAGGGCAAGUUGAAUUAUUUUUUCAUCUUCUAAACAGUAAAUGAAGGUAAAUUUAUAUUUUUGUACUUUUGAGAGAAAAAUUAAAAAUUGUGAUUCUACAUAGAAUAUGGGAUAAAUUAAAAGUUACCCUUUCAAAUUUACAGUGUCCACAGCAAAAAUAUAAUAGCAGAGGAAGAGAUGGUCGGAGUCUCAGAGAUGAGAAGAAAGAAUGAGAAAAGAUGAAGGUUCUGUGAAGACUAAGUGAACACUUGCGUAACCAAGAAGAUUCGUGGACAAUGACAGGGAGCGGUAAAUGUCAUUUCAAAAUGGGCAAAGCAUAGGUAUAAUGUAAUGUAAAUAUCCAACAAUGCCUGACCGGCUUCCAAGAAAUAGAAACGGAGCUCCAGUGUACGUGCAACAUCAACCGUGGUAAACCAAGCUAAAGGAAAAUUUAGCAUAGCCAUUCUCAAGACAAUGGAGGUCUACAAAGUCUCGAUCGUAAUGAAUCAUUCUAACAAGUAAAGAGAAAGGACCAAUGGAGGAUGGCCAGAAGAAACAAACUGAAAAUUCUUUCAUGAAACAACUGGAGCAUGUCAAUGUUUUACUAACAAAUCUGUAGACCAGACAGUCAUAAUAAAAUUAAUAACAAGCGCUUACACUGAAAACCAUACUAUAUCUGAGAUUUUUUUUUCUUUUUUGUUUAAAUUUAAAAGUUUACUUAAACUGCUGAUUCAACAAGAAAUUAAAGUCUAGGACUAAUAUGGGACAUUCUUGGGGAGGUUUCGGAUGAUAUUAUUCUUCAUGCCGACCCUUGUGCGCAUUGCCUCCACUCCCGUUCUAUUCAUCUCCUUGAUUACCUUCAUCCUCACCAUGUGCUCUCUUGUUUGCACGGUUGCUAAUCCCAUGCUCUUGUACCUGAAAAAUACAGGAUGCCAUGUUAAGGAGAUGGGAUUCCCAGGUUGCCCUUCUUAAUAGAAGGGCAAGUUGAGAAAGAUUAAAAACACACCUUGAGGCCAGCGCAGCUGUAAUGGCCACAUUAUUUGCCGGUGACGGGCGGGGUUUCUGGCGAUAAUACCGCAGAUAUUCACGGGAGCCGAACGUUUUAGUCGAUGUUCCUUUAUCUGUUCUCUUUGUUAUGAUAAGCUCAGACCCACCACCAAGCUCUACAGUGUUGGCCAUGUCACUGGAUGAGAUCAGCUGUUUCCCAUCCUCAUCCAUGUAACUGUCAGAACAAAGAAUUUUAUUAUUUUGUUGAAAAGUAAAUAAAUCAAAUUAGGAAAUAAGAAACAAAAAAGAAAGAUGAACUUUGAAGACAAUGACCUGCUGCUAUAGUCAUAGAACUCUUCUAACUCGGCCUCCUCCUCGUCAUCACCAUCGCCGAAAUGUAUUUUGCAAUGACGUUUUGCUUCCAUAUGCUUCCUAACUGCUUCCAAGCUGUUAAAAGGAUGGCACCUAUCAUUGCAGUAUAAACACAUGAAAUCCCUCUUAACCUGAAAAAAUUUGAAAAGACAGAGCAUGUAAGUGAAAGCAACAGCUGCUUAUGGUAAAUUGAUUAACUGAGCUAAUAAAAUCAAGCAAAAACAUAGAAUGCAAGAUGAGAGUAAUUUUAUAAUAAGGGAAUCCAUUACUUUAAUAAAGUAAGGGACAAGUAAAAGGGGGGCAAAAAAAAAAAAACAUUCGUUGUAUUUUAUCUGGACAAUGACAGGGAGCGGUAAAUGUCAUUUCAAAAUGGGCAAAGCAUAGGUAUAAUGUAAUGUAAAUAUCCAACAAUGCCUGACCGGCUUCCAAGAAAUAGAAACGGAGCUCCAGUGUACGUGCAACAUCAACCGUGGUAAACCAAGCUAAAGGAAAAUUUAGCAUAGCCAUUCUCAAGACAAUGGAGGUCUACAAAGUCUCGAUCGUAAUGAAUCAUUCUAAGAAGUAAAGAGAAAGGACCAAUGGAGGAUGGCCAGAAGAAACAAACUGAAAAUUCUUUCAUGAAACAACUGGAGCAUGUCAAUGUUUUACUAACAAAUCUGUAGACCAGACAGUCAUAAUAAAAUUAAUAACAAGCGCUUACACUGAAAACCAUACUAUAUCUGAGAUUUUUUUUUCUUUUUUGUUUAAAUUUAAAAGUUUACUUAAACUGCUGAUUCAACAAGAAAUUAAAGUCUAGGACUAAUAUGGGACAUUCUUGGGGAGGUUUCGGAUGAUAUUAUUCUUCAUGCCGACCCUUGUGCGCAUUGCCUCCACUCCCGUUCUAUUCAUCUCCUUGAUUACCUUCAUCCUCACCAUGUGCUCUCUUGUUUGCACGGUUGCUAAUCCCAUGCUCUUGUACCUGAAAAAUACAGGAUGCCAUGUUAAGGAGAUGGGAUUCCCAGGUUGCCCUUCUUAAUAGAAGGGCAAGUUGAGAAAGAUUAAAAACACACCUUGAGGCCAGCGCAGCUGUAAUGGCCACAUUAUUUGCCGGUGACGGGCGGGGUUUCUGGCGAUAAUACCGCAGAUAUUCACGGGAGCCGAACGUUUUAGUCGAUGUUCCUUUAUCUGUUCUCUUUGUUAUGAUAAGCUCAGACCCACCACCAAGCUCUACAGUGUUGGCCAUGUCACUGGAUGAGAUCAGCUGUUUCC